UAGUGGCGCACGGGUGCGUAACGCGUGGGAAUCUGCCCUGGGGUGCGGAAUAACUCGGAGAAAUCCGUGCUAAUACCGCAUAAUGUCUUCGGACCAAAGAUUUAUUGCCCUGGGAUGAGCCCGCGUAGGAUUAGCUAGUUGGUGUGGUAAGAGCGCACCAAGGCGACGAUCCUUAGCUGGUCUGAGAGGAUGAUCAGCCACACUGGGACUGAGACACGGCCCAGACUCC
Molecule: ribosomal RNA, 229 nt
Filed under: uncultured bacterium
Lineage: Bacteria
Description: partial 16S ribosomal RNA
Rfam family: Bacterial small subunit ribosomal RNA
Source: RNAcentral